Podarcis lilfordi (Lilford's wall lizard) is the source of this 86-nucleotide non-coding RNA. NCBI's taxonomy places the organism in Eukaryota, Metazoa, Chordata, Lepidosauria, Squamata, Lacertidae. The record is from the annotation of a GenBank genome assembly.
GAUGGGGCUGUGGCUCAGGGGCAGAGCAUCUGCUUUGUAUUCAGAAGGUCACAGGAUCAAUCCCUUUGAUUUGGGGACUUCCAUUG